Long non-coding RNA from Melitaea cinxia (Glanville fritillary), 851 nucleotides. RefSeq lists it as uncharacterized. The record is from RefSeq and is a predicted model, not a curated record. Lineage: Eukaryota; Metazoa; Arthropoda; Insecta; Lepidoptera; Nymphalidae. The transcript has 2 exons.
GGUAUAUAAGUUGACAAUGUUUAGACGACAAUCACAGCAGGAUAACAGAGUCAAUUGAGUAGAAAUGCGUCGACUAGCGAUAUUUUUAUUUGUCCUCGUGCUGAGCACGGCGGUCCUUUGCGAAGAUCCUCCUAACACAAAGGCACCAGAACACCCGAAGACGUUGGAUCAUCACUCCGUUACGAAUUCCACGAAAAUGCCAGAGCAGCCCAAAAUUCCCGAUGGCAAACCUCUGACUAAUUUUAACGGAAACAAUAAUUAGAAUUAACCACAGCCUAAUUUACGAAAUUACUUUAGUAAUACCUUGAUUUGUAUCUUUUGACAAAAUUAAGGGCCUCUUUCACCGUCUACCGUUAAAGAUAUCUGACAUAUGACGGUAUCCAAGCGACGAAAUUUAUGAUAUGUUUUUGUUUUUCACCACCAAUUUCCACCUUUAUUUAUGGAAUAUUUCUUUUCGCUACCCGUGUAUCUAAAAUGUUUUAUUAAUUAAGGUGAAACCAGCCCUUAAGGCCCAUUUUACUUCCUGCUGUUAACGUAUAUUUCUAACUUAUGUAUAGAAUAAUCUUUAUCCACAAGCGGUUAAACAGGCGUCAAGAAAUAUUUUUAAUAUUUUUUUUUCUUUUGUUUUAAACAUAUGUUGAACGCUUUUUGGCCAGUAAGUUCUCUCUCUUUGUACUUGUCUUUCUGUACAAAAUAAGAAAGAAUUACAAAAUGUAGUACGUAAAUAGGCACUGUGAUAGUGAAGGUCACAAAAACAUACUGAAAGGCUAUAAAAAAUGGACAAUUUUGAUGUACCUCUAGAAGUGUGUAAUUAUUUUUAAAUAGAGCAUAUUAAACUCAGUUGCAGCUGU